CGGGAAUCCCGCGGGAUGGGAAACAAAAUCGCUACGAAUCACGUGAUUGGGACGGGACAGGAAAAAAUGUCAUCGGGAGUGGGCGGGACCGGGAAUAGCAAUGAUACCCAACUUUAUACACAAAUAUACCUUUUAUAUAAAUAAACUAUAAACUGUAUAUUUUAAUUCUGAGCUCAAUUCUAGUUGCCCUGUCGCGCUCUCCUCCUGUUUGCUUUGGUGUGGCUGGUUAAGUGAAUGACGCAGUCUGUGACGGACAGAUCGUUAACGGCUGGUCUGUGUGGUAAUACUCGGGCAGGACAUACAAACGCUCACCUAUCAUUCAUCGACCUCAAAUAUGGCUUUUCAUCCGAAAGAUAAAAGAGUCCAAGGAGCCAUUCUCCAUGUAUUCCACCACUAUCAUCACAGGCCGACCUACAAAGAGGAAAACAGGACACCUGUUGCAGGCAGUUUGAUUUGAAGCGUGAAAUCAGUGAUUGUCUACAUGUCAGACCGAAGCUGUGAGUGUAUCAAACUUGGCAGAGAAACACGUUUGUUUUUUGCAGAGAGAAAACAGCUCUUGGCUGAUGAUGAUCCAAGUUAUUCUGUAAUCAGUUUCAUUCAGACAAUUCACAUCCUCGAUGAUCAAUAUCAGUACUUCAUGAUUUCCUCAUCUGUUUUAUUUAUGCAUUUAUUUGUUUAUGCCCUGCCAUGCUGGAGUUGUGUUAAACACAUUACUGAAGGGUAUCACAUUAAUGUUCAAAUGUUGGGCUAAGUAAGGCUUUUUUUCUUUUAUUCAGCAAGGAUGCAUUAAAUUGUUCAAAAGUAAUAGUAAUGACAUUUGUUACAAAAAUACUUUUUUUUCAAAUAAAUGCUGUACUUCUGAACUUUCUAUUCAUCAAAUGAUCUUGAAAGAAAAAAAGUAUUAUGGAUUCCAUAAAAAUAUUAAACUGUUUUAAAAUUGCAGCAAAUCAACAUAUGAUUUCUGAAGGAUCAAUAGGCACUGAAGUCUGGAGUAAUGGCCGCUGAAAAUUCAAGAUCAGACAUUUCAAUGGUAUUAUGGAUAUAUUAAACAGCUGUUUGAAUCUUCAGAAGGCAAAAGAA
Molecule: long non-coding RNA, 1080 nt
Organism: Onychostoma macrolepis
Lineage: Eukaryota; Metazoa; Chordata; Actinopteri; Cypriniformes; Cyprinidae
Exons: 3
Source: RefSeq, a predicted model, not a curated record